RNAcentral lists this ribosomal RNA (880 nucleotides) under Alteromonas sp. RNAcentral's name for it is "bacterial SSU rRNA". It matches the Rfam family "Bacterial small subunit ribosomal RNA", at positions 61 to 938 of the family's 1533-position model. Lineage: Bacteria; Pseudomonadati; Pseudomonadota; Gammaproteobacteria; Alteromonadales; Alteromonadaceae. The record is from RNAcentral.
GUCGAACGGUAGCAGGAAGUGCUUGCACUUUGCUGACGAGUGGCGGACGGGUGAGUAAUGCUUGGGAACUUGCCUUUGCGAGGGGGAUAACAGUUGGAAACGACUGCUAAUACCGCAUAAUGUCUACGGACCAAACGGGGCUUAGGCUUCGGCGCAGAGAGAGGCCCAAGUGAGAUUAGCUAGUUGGUGGGGUAAAGGCUCACCAAGGCGACGAUCUCUAGCUGUUCUGAGAGGAAGAUCAGCCACACUGGGACUGAGACACGGCCCAGACUCCUACGGGAGGCAGCAGUGGGGAAUAUUGCACAAUGGGGGGAACCCUGAUGCAGCCAUGCCGCGUGUGUGAAGAAGGCCUUCGGGUUGUAAAGCACUUUCAGUUGUGAGGAAAAGUGAGUAGUUAAUACCUGCUCACCGUGACGUUAACAACAGAAGAAGCACCGGCUAACUCCGUGCCAGCAGCCGCGGUAAUACGGAGGGUGCGAGCGUUAAUCGGAAUUACUGGGCGUAAAGCGCACGCAGGCGGUUUGUUAAGCUAGAUGUGAAAGCCCCGAGCUCAACUUGGGAUGGUCAUUUAGAACUGGCAGACUAGAGUCUUGGAGAGGGGAGUGGAAUUCCAGGUGUAGCGGUGAAAUGCGUAGAUAUCUGGAGGAACAUCAGUGGCGAAGGCGACUCCCUGGCCAAAGACUGACGCUCAUGUGCGAAAGUGUGGGUAGCGAACAGGAUUAGAUACCCUGGUAGUCCACACCGUAAACGCUGUCUACUAGCUGUUUGUGGCUUUAAGCCGUGAGUAGCGAAGCUAACGCGAUAAGUAGACCGCCUGGGGAGUACGGCCGCAAGGUUAAAACUCAAAUGAAUUGACGGGGGCCCGCACAAGCGGUGGAGC